GACGAACGCUGGCGGCGUGCUUAACACAUGCAAGUCGAGCGGUAAGGCCCAGCUUGCUGGGUACACGAGCGGCGAACGGGUGAGUAACACGUGGGUGACCUGCCCUCAGCUCUGGGAUAAGCUUGGGAAACUGGGUCUAAUACCGGAUAUGACUUCGCAUCGCAUGGUGUGGGGUGGAAAGUCGGUGCUUUUGGGUGCUGGCGGUUGGGGAUGGGCCCGCGGUCUAUCAGCUGGUUGGUGGGGUGAUGGCCUACCAAGGCGACGACGGGUAGCCGGCCUGAGAGGGCGACCGGCCACACUGGGACUGAGACACGGCCCAGACUCCUACGGGAGGCAGCAGUGGGGAAUAUUGCGCAAUGGGCGGAAGCCUGACGCAGCGACGCCGCGUGGGGGAUGACGGCCUUCGGGUUGUAAACCUCUUUCGACCUUGACGAAGGCCUCUGGGUUUAUGUCU
RNAcentral lists this ribosomal RNA (454 nucleotides) under uncultured bacterium. Its description in RNAcentral is "bacterial SSU rRNA". It matches the Rfam family "Bacterial small subunit ribosomal RNA", at positions 28 to 468 of the family's 1533-position model. The record is from RNAcentral.